UACAGAGUCAAUGUGGAGGCUAUAUACAGGGGGUACCGGUACAGAGUCAAUGUGGAGGCUAUAUACAGGGGGUACUGGUACAGAGUCAAUGUGGAGGCUAUAUACAGGGGGUACUGGUACAGAGACAAUGUGGAGGCUAUAUACAAGGGGUACCGGUACAGAGUCAAUGUGGAGGCUAUAUACAGGGGGUACAGGUACAGAGUCAAUGUGGAGACUAUAUACAGGGGGUACAGGUACAGAGACAAUUUGGAGGCUAUAUACAGGGGGUACAGGUACAGAGACAAUGUGGAGGCUAUAUACAGGGGGUACCGGUACAGAGUCAAUGUGGAGGCUAUAUACAGGGGGUAC
This is a long non-coding RNA of Oncorhynchus tshawytscha (Chinook salmon), 348 nucleotides long. NCBI's taxonomy places the organism in Eukaryota, Metazoa, Chordata, Actinopteri, Salmoniformes, Salmonidae. The record is from Ensembl.